UUGGACGGGGCCCGCACAAGCAGCGGAGCGUAUGGUUUAAUUCGAUGCGACACGAAGAACCUUACCUGGGUUUGACGUGUACGUAGUAGAGAACCGAAAGGGGAUCGACGCUUCGGCGAGCGUACACAGGUGCUGCAUGGCUGUCGUCAGCUCGUGUCGUGAGAUGUUGGGUUAAGUCCCGCAACGAGCGCAACCCUUAUCCCCAGUUGCCAUCAGGUAAAGCUGGGAACUCUGGGGAGACUGCCGGUGAUAAACCGGAGGAAGGCGGGGAUGACGUCAAGUCCUCAUGGCCCUUACAUCCCGGGCUACACACGUGCUACAAUGGCAGGUACAGAGGGCUGCGAAGCCGCGAGGUGGAGCGAAUCCCAGAAAACCUGUCUCAGUCCGGAUUGAAGUCCGCAACUCGACUUCAUGAAGGCGGAAUCGCUAGUAACCGCGAAUCAGCAGGUCGCGGUGAAUACGUUCCCAGGCCUU
This 474-nucleotide ribosomal RNA is filed under the name uncultured Latescibacterota bacterium. RNAcentral describes it as "bacterial SSU rRNA". It matches the Rfam family "Bacterial small subunit ribosomal RNA", at positions 916 to 1381 of the family's 1533-position model. Lineage: Bacteria; Pseudomonadati; Candidatus Latescibacterota. The record is from RNAcentral.